GACGUAGGGCGCGAGCGUUGUCCGGAUUUAUUGGGCGUAAAGAGCUUGUAGGCGGUUUGUCGCGUCUGCUGUGAAAUUUCGGGGCUCAACCCCGAACUUGCAGUGGGUACGGGCAGACUAGAGUGUGGUAGGGGAGACUGGAAUUCCUGGUGUAGCGGUGAAAUGCGCAGAUAUCAGGAGGAACACCGAUGGCGAAGGCAGGUCUCUGGGCCACUACUGACGCUGAGAAGCGAAAGCAUGGGGAGCGAACAGG
This 253-nucleotide ribosomal RNA is filed under the name uncultured bacterium. RNAcentral's name for it is "partial 16S ribosomal RNA". It matches the Rfam family "Bacterial small subunit ribosomal RNA", at positions 524 to 776 of the family's 1533-position model. The record is from RNAcentral.